This 194-nucleotide non-coding RNA is filed under the name Serratia proteamaculans. Its description in RNAcentral is "Lysine sequence". It matches the Rfam family "Lysine riboswitch aptamer". From Rfam's summary of the family: Riboswitches are metabolite binding domains within certain messenger RNAs that serve as precision sensors for their corresponding targets. Allosteric rearrangement of mRNA structure is mediated by ligand binding, and this results in modulation of gene expression. This family includes riboswitches that sense lysine in a number of genes involved in lysine metabolism, including lysC. Lineage: Bacteria; Pseudomonadati; Pseudomonadota; Gammaproteobacteria; Enterobacterales; Yersiniaceae. RNAcentral also lists the same sequence under 1 other name. The record is from RNAcentral.
CAAGCCAGAAGAGGUGCGUCGCCCAGGUAGAGUGUCAGAGGAGCCGUUGUCCAAUGACGGCGCUUGAGGGGGAGCGACGCCGAGGUAAGGUGAUGUGCGGCAUUCAUCGUAUCGACUACAGGGGCUGAAUCCCCUGAGUUGUCACCAGGGAUUGUCCGUAGGGGCAAUCAGCAAGGUGGGGCGCUUCUGGGUGU